This is a long non-coding RNA of Jaculus jaculus (lesser Egyptian jerboa), 798 nucleotides long. RefSeq lists it as uncharacterized. The transcript has 4 exons. The record is from RefSeq and is a predicted model, not a curated record. Lineage: Eukaryota; Metazoa; Chordata; Mammalia; Rodentia; Dipodidae.
GUCCCCGUGCCCUAGCGCGCGGGGGCUUACGGGGUGGGCGCGGGCUCACUUCUCCCCAAGCUGGCUAUGCGGGUUUGCCAUUUGUACCUGGGUCAUCUCGUGUUCCUGCCGGGCUCCCGGGGGUGCCUAGUUGGCUGGGUACGUUGGCGUUAGACAACUUUGUCUUGCUCAUCACACCUGCGAAAGGUGCUUUGCCUGCGUCUGCAUCCAUCGCGAGCUCCUCGGAGGGCACCGGUAGCUGCCCAUGGUGCUGUACCCUCCACCUUGACGGUGACUUGGCGCCUGGGGGAAGCCUGACCCGCGCGCGCUGUGGGCACGUCCGUUUGCAGUGCUGGCGCUUUCAGUUUCUGCACUCGUGUGACUUCUCGUCUGCUCCAGCUAGGCUGUGUGUUCUGGAAAGAAUAUCACUACUGUGUAAUGCCAACACAAGAGGCAACCCAGUGCCCGUGGACAGCAGAGCGGAUGAAUUAACACCGACCACCACGUUGAAGAUGAGCACAUCGUCUGGAAAAAUGGCUCGGAUAUUAAAGGCGCUUGCUUGCAAACAAAGCCGGGCCUUCCAUAUAGGCAAUGCUCUUUGAGCUACAUCCUCAGAGGAUUGGGGAGAUGUCUCUGUCGUUAAAGCACUGGGGACCACAUUCUGGGCCUUGUGUAUGGCAGAUUACUGUAUCAGCACUGAUGGGUCAAAACACACACAUGGGACUGAAGAGAUGGCUUAGCAGUUAAGGCACUUGCCUGUAAAGCCUAAGAACUCAAGUUUGAUUCCCCAGAACCCAUGUAAGUGAGACACACAGAAUA